UAAGGGCUCUUUCAAAAAAAAAAGGGGGAAGGGGAGAGACCACAGCUCAAAUUUCAACCUGCCCCCCAGGUCGAGUUGUUUACUGUUGGUGGUAUCUUGGGAGGGGGUUGCCCCUUGUUGUUGCACCGCGCGACAGAGGGUGACAGCCCCGUAAAAUCUAUUCCCAUUGUAAGCCAAUCCCAAAUAAGUUAUUUUUUUGGAAAUGAGUUUUUAAGGGGCGCUUCUUUUCUUUCUAAAGUUUAUAUUGUAAAGAAUCCGAUAGCGAACAAUUCCUGUGAAGGACAGCUGAAAAGCACUUUGAAAAGAGAGUGAAAAAGUCCGUGAAAUUGGUAAAUUGAAAGGUUAGUGAGUCAAACUUGUUGCUUCUGUUCAACAUUGUGUCGGCAUUGUUCCCUGAGGACUCUUAGGCCAAUUUUUAUUUUUUGGUAGUAAAAAAGAUUCGGAACGUAACUUUUCGAAUUUUAUAUCCGCGUUUUAGCUCUCCGGGCGUCCUACGUUUGCGGUUCGAGGCUACCUUGUUUUAAAGAUUGUUACCGCCCGUUGUAAUACCCGCCCCCAAAAA
This 562-nucleotide ribosomal RNA is filed under the name Geotrichum sp. GeUn5. RNAcentral describes it as "partial 26S ribosomal RNA". It matches the Rfam family "Eukaryotic large subunit ribosomal RNA", at positions 1 to 621 of the family's 3401-position model. The record is from RNAcentral. Lineage: Eukaryota; Fungi; Ascomycota; Dipodascomycetes; Dipodascales; Dipodascaceae.